RNAcentral lists this ribosomal RNA (468 nucleotides) under uncultured bacterium. Its description in RNAcentral is "partial 16S ribosomal RNA". It matches the Rfam family "Bacterial small subunit ribosomal RNA", at positions 28 to 507 of the family's 1533-position model. The record is from RNAcentral.
GACGAACGCUGGCGGCGUGCUUAACACAUGCAAGUCGAACGGAAAGGCCCUGCUUUUGUGGGGUGCUCGAGUGGCGAACGGGUGAGUAACACGUGAGUAACCUGCCCUUGACUUUGGGAUAACUUCAGGAAACUGGGGCUAAUGCCGGAUAGGAGCUCCUGCUGCAUGGUGGGGGUUGGAAAGUUUCGGCGGUUGGGGAUGGACUCGCGGCUUAUCAGCUUGUUGGUGGGGUAGUGGCUUACCAAGGCUUUGACGGGUAGCCGGCCUGAGAGGGUGACCGGCCACAUUGGGACUGAGAUACGGCCCAGACUCCUACGGGAGGCAGCAGUGGGGAAUAUUGCACAAUGGGCGGAAGCCUGAUGCAGCAACGCCGCGUGCGGGAUGACGGCCUUCGGGUUGUAAACCGCUUUCGCCUGUGACGAAGCGUGAGUGACGGUAAUGGAUAAAGAAGCACCGGCUAACUACGUG